UACUAAAAACUUCCAGAACCUUCUAAAACCUCAUAGAACCUUGAAGAGCCUUCUUAAAAUCUAUUGGUACUUUUUCAAACCUUCUAAAACCUUCUAGAAUCUUCUUAAGUUGUAUGUUAGUAAUAUCACCUCUUCUUCUAGCUUCGAGGUCUUCGAUAAGCAAUGUUGCAGUAAGCUAGUAUAUGUGCAAGAAGUUGAAGAUCUAUCGCAUAGUAUCUUUUAUAUAUUUCAAUUGUUUUUUGCAAGGUAAAUGGUUCAUAGGUCCUUGUAGCCAUUGAUAGUGUCCCAAGCCUUCUACUUGUCACCAAGCACAAACUUUGGUAUCUUCAUUAUUGAAUUAUCCUGCAAACACUCCUUCUAAAUGUUCUUUAUAGGCAAGUU
RNAcentral lists this long non-coding RNA (381 nucleotides) under Physcomitrium patens. Its description in RNAcentral is "long non-coding RNA (PPAT_LNC000217)". Lineage: Eukaryota; Viridiplantae; Streptophyta; Bryopsida; Funariales; Funariaceae. The record is from RNAcentral.